ACGGGUGAGUAACGCGUGGGUAACCUGCCUUAUACAGGGGGAUAACAGUCAGAAAUGGCUGCUAAUACCGCAUAAGCGCACAGAGCUGCAUGGCUCAGUGUGAAAAACUACCGGUGGUAUAAGAUGGACCCGCGUUGGAUUAGCUUGUUGGUGGGGUAACGGCCCACCAAGGCGACGAUCCAUAGCCGGCCUGAGAGGGUGAACGGCCACAUUGGGACUGAGACACGGCCCAGACUCCUACGGGAGGCAGCAUG
This 254-nucleotide ribosomal RNA is filed under the name uncultured bacterium. RNAcentral's name for it is "partial 16S ribosomal RNA". It matches the Rfam family "Bacterial small subunit ribosomal RNA", at positions 102 to 353 of the family's 1533-position model. The record is from RNAcentral.